Molecule: unclassified non-coding RNA, 471 nt
Filed under: Hevea brasiliensis (rubber tree)
Lineage: Eukaryota; Viridiplantae; Streptophyta; Magnoliopsida; Malpighiales; Euphorbiaceae
Source: RNAcentral
GCAAUGUAUGACUGGAGAAUGAUCAGAUGCAGCCUUGAAGUGAGAAUUGUUUCAGGUGUGGUUCCAUGCAUCUGCAGUUCUAGUAAGUAUCCUUGAAUUUCAUUACGUCUCUGGUGUAAAAGGUGGGUUAUCUUUUGAAAACCUGAUAUUCUUCUAUCAAUGUAUUACGUUCAAAGUUUGCUUGUCUUCCAUGAAAUUGACCUACAUGGAAUAUAAUUCAAGUUCUUAACUGGAUUUGCUGAUAAACUUGGCCAUUGUGGAUCAAAUCUAUCUCAAAUUUCAAUUGUCCCUUUUCCUGAACACUAACUUCCCGCGCCAGAUCUUUGAUCAUGAAAAAAAAAUCUGUUUAGCUUGCAUUGAAUUUUUCUCCAACUGCAUGUUCAAGGAACAUUUGACAAGCCUCUCAUAUUUUUCUUCCUCCACCUUCUUAAGCACCAACUUAUUGCUCCUCUGCCAAGCCUCUCUGCCAAG